RNAcentral lists this transfer RNA (72 nucleotides) under Aspergillus sydowii CBS 593.65. It matches the Rfam family "tRNA". Rfam says of the family: Transfer RNA (tRNA) molecules are approximately 80 nucleotides in length. Their secondary structure includes four short double-helical elements and three loops (D, anti-codon, and T loops). The record is from Rfam by way of RNAcentral. Lineage: Eukaryota; Fungi; Ascomycota; Eurotiomycetes; Eurotiales; Aspergillaceae.
GGCCGGUUGGCCUAGUGGUAAGGCGUGCGCCUCCUAAGCGCAAGAUCGCGGGUUCGAAUCCCGCAUUGGUCG